This 299-nucleotide signal recognition particle RNA is filed under the name Aotus nancymaae (Ma's night monkey). RNAcentral's name for it is "Metazoan signal recognition particle RNA (ENSANAG00000011633.1)". It matches the Rfam family "Metazoan signal recognition particle RNA". From Rfam's summary of the family: The signal recognition particle (SRP) is a universally conserved ribonucleoprotein. The record is from RNAcentral. Lineage: Eukaryota; Metazoa; Chordata; Mammalia; Primates; Aotidae.
GCCGGGCGCGGUGGCCCGUGCCUAUAGUCUCAGCUACUCAGGAGGUUGAGAUGGGAGGAUCGCUUGAGCCCAGGAGUUCUGGGCUGCAGUGCGCUAUGCCAAUCGGGUGUCCACACUAAGUCCGGCAUCAAUAUGGUGACCUUCCAGGAGCAAGGGACCACCAGGUUGCCUAAGGAGGGGUGAACUGGCCCAGGUCGGAAACGGAGCAGAUCAAAACUCCCGUGCUGAUCAGUAAUGGGAUCGCACCUGUGAAUAGCCACUGCACUCCAGCCUGGGCAACAUAGUGAGACCCCGUCUCU